GGGGGUGUAACUCAAUGGUAGAGUGUCUGUUCUGCAAACAGGAUGUUGCUGGUUCGAUUCUAGUCAUCUCCA
RNAcentral lists this transfer RNA (72 nucleotides) under Goniomonas avonlea. RNAcentral describes it as "tRNA-Ala". It matches the Rfam family "tRNA". From Rfam's summary of the family: Transfer RNA (tRNA) molecules are approximately 80 nucleotides in length. Their secondary structure includes four short double-helical elements and three loops (D, anti-codon, and T loops). Further hydrogen bonds mediate the characteristic L-shaped molecular structure. tRNAs have two regions of fundamental functional importance: the anti-codon, which is responsible for specific mRNA codon recognition, and the 3' end, to which the tRNAs corresponding amino acid is attached (by aminoacyl-tRNA synthetases). tRNAs cope with the degeneracy of the genetic code in two manners: having more than one tRNA (with a specific anti-codon) for a particular amino acid; and 'wobble' base-pairing, i.e. permitting non-standard base-pairing at the 3rd anti-codon position. Lineage: Eukaryota; Cryptophyceae; Goniomonadida; Goniomonadaceae. The record is from RNAcentral.